Molecule: ribosomal RNA, 1562 nt
Filed under: Vibrio owensii
Lineage: Bacteria; Pseudomonadati; Pseudomonadota; Gammaproteobacteria; Vibrionales; Vibrionaceae
Description: bacterial SSU rRNA
Rfam family: Bacterial small subunit ribosomal RNA
Source: RNAcentral
AAAUUGAAGAGUUUGAUCAUGGCUCAGAUUGAACGCUGGCGGCAGGCCUAACACAUGCAAGUCGAGCGGAAACGAGUUAUCUGAACCUUCGGGGAACGAUAACGGCGUCGAGCGGCGGACGGGUGAGUAAUGCCUAGGAAAUUGCCCUGAUGUGGGGGAUAACCAUUGGAAACGAUGGCUAAUACCGCAUAACGCCUACGGGCCAAAGAGGGGGACCUUCGGGCCUCUCGCGUCAGGAUAUGCCUAGGUGGGAUUAGCUAGUUGGUGAGGUAAUGGCUCACCAAGGCGACGAUCCCUAGCUGGUCUGAGAGGAUGAUCAGCCACACUGGAACUGAGACACGGUCCAGACUCCUACGGGAGGCAGCAGUGGGGAAUAUUGCACAAUGGGCGCAAGCCUGAUGCAGCCAUGCCGCGUGUGUGAAGAAGGCCUUCGGGUUGUAAAGCACUUUCAGUCGUGAGGAAGGUAGUGUAGUUAAUAGCUGCAUUAUUUGACGUUAGCGACAGAAGAAGCACCGGCUAACUCCGUGCCAGCAGCCGCGGUAAUACGGAGGGUGCGAGCGUUAAUCGGAAUUACUGGGCGUAAAGCGCAUGCAGGUGGUUUGUUAAGUCAGAUGUGAAAGCCCGGGGCUCAACCUCGGAAUAGCAUUUGAAACUGGCAGACUAGAGUACUGUAGAGGGGGGUAGAAUUUCAGGUGUAGCGGUGAAAUGCGUAGAGAUCUGAAGGAAUACCGGUGGCGAAGGCGGCCCCCUGGACAGAUACUGACACUCAGAUGCGAAAGCGUGGGGAGCAAACAGGAUUAGAUACCCUGGUAGUCCACGCCGUAAACGAUGUCUACUUGGAGGUUGUGGCCUUGAGCCGUGGCUUUCGGAGCUAACGCGUUAAGUAGACCGCCUGGGGAGUACGGUCGCAAGAUUAAAACUCAAAUGAAUUGACGGGGGCCCGCACAAGCGGUGGAGCAUGUGGUUUAAUUCGAUGCAACGCGAAGAACCUUACCUACUCUUGACAUCCAGAGAACUUUCCAGAGAUGGAUUGGUGCCUUCGGGAACUCUGAGACAGGUGCUGCAUGGCUGUCGUCAGCUCGUGUUGUGAAAUGUUGGGUUAAGUCCCGCAACGAGCGCAACCCUUAUCCUUGUUUGCCAGCGAGUAAUGUCGGGAACUCCAGGGAGACUGCCGGUGAUAAACCGGAGGAAGGUGGGGACGACGUCAAGUCAUCAUGGCCCUUACGAGUAGGGCUACACACGUGCUACAAUGGCGCAUACAGAGGGCAGCAAGCUAGCGAUAGUGAGCGAAUCCCAAAAAGUGCGUCGUAGUCCGGAUUGGAGUCUGCAACUCGACUCCAUGAAGUCGGAAUCGCUAGUAAUCGUGGAUCAGAAUGCCACGGUGAAUACGUUCCCGGGCCUUGUACACACCGCCCGUCACACCAUGGGAGUGGGCUGCAAAAGAAGUAGGUAGUUUAACCUUCGGGAGGACGCUUACCACUUUGUGGUUCAUGACUGGGGUGAAGUCGUAACAAGGUAGCGCUAGGGGAACCUGGCGCUGGAUCACCUCCUUAAACGAUGAU